AUGUACGCUGCCGAUCUCAUAAACACUUGCCAUAAGCGUAAAAACCCCGCGAUGGUGCUAAAACUGGACUUCAGGAAAGCCUUCGACUCUGUGUCCUGGCACGCCCUCCUCCUAAUCCUGCAACAUUGGGGCUUCCCCACCCGAUUCUGCUCUUGGAUAAAUGAUCUACUUACCUCUGGAAAAACUGCUGUCAUGUUAAAUGGUGUGCAGGGCGACUGGAUUAACUGUAAGAAUGGCCUGCGUCAGGGUGACCCCAUGUCUCCAUACCUUUUCCUCAUAGUUGCUGAUGUUCUCCAGCAACUUAUACUAAAAACGGUUGCCUCUUCCCCUGACCUAUGCCACCCAAUCUACCCUGAUCUCCCCCUGCCAUCCUGCAAUACGCGGAUGACACGCUAA
Molecule: ribosomal RNA, 396 nt
Filed under: Triticum aestivum (bread wheat)
Lineage: Eukaryota; Viridiplantae; Streptophyta; Magnoliopsida; Poales; Poaceae
Description: partial small subunit ribosomal RNA
Source: RNAcentral